CAUGCCUAACACAUGCAAGUCGAACGGCAGCACAGCAGUAGCAAUACUGUGGGUGGCGAGUGGCGGACGGGUGAGGAAUACAUCGGAAUUUGCCCUGUCGUGGGGGAUAACGUAGGGAAACUUACGCUAAUACCGCAUACGACCUAACGGUGAAAGCGGGGGAUCGCAAGACCUCGCGCGGCUGGAGAAGCCGAUGUCAGAUUAGCUAGUUGGCGGGGUAAAGGCCCACCAAGGCGACGAUCUGUAGCUGGUCUGAGAGGAUGAUCAGCCACACUGGGACUGAGACACGGCCCAGACUCCUACGGGAGGCAGCAGUGGGGAAUAUUGGACAAUGGGCGCAAGCCUGAUCCAGCAAUGCCGCGUGUGUGAAGAAGGCCUUCGGGUUGUAAAGCACUUUUAUCUGGAGCGAAAUCUGCAGGGCUAAUACCCAUGCAGUCUGACGG
RNAcentral lists this ribosomal RNA (443 nucleotides) under Lysobacteraceae bacterium Ellin5421. RNAcentral describes it as "bacterial SSU rRNA". It matches the Rfam family "Bacterial small subunit ribosomal RNA", at positions 43 to 475 of the family's 1533-position model. The record is from RNAcentral. Lineage: Bacteria; Pseudomonadati; Pseudomonadota; Gammaproteobacteria; Lysobacterales; Lysobacteraceae.